Molecule: ribosomal RNA, 405 nt
Filed under: uncultured bacterium
Lineage: Bacteria
Description: partial 16S ribosomal RNA
Rfam family: Bacterial small subunit ribosomal RNA
Source: RNAcentral
AUUGAACGCUAGCGGGAUGCUUUACACAUGCAAGUCGAACGAGAGGCGGACGGGUGAGCAAUAUAUCGGAACGUGCCCAGUAGCUGGGGAUCACUACUCGAAAGAGUGGCUACUACCGCCAACUUUUGGCGCGGCCGUAAUCGGAUGAGCUAGUUGGUGGGGUAAAGGCUCACAAAGGUCACGAUCCGUACCUGGUUUGAGAGGACGACCAGCCACACUGGGACUGAGACACGGCCCAGACUCCUACGGGAGGCAGCAGUGGGGAAUUUUGGACAAUGGGGGAAACCCUGAUCCAGCCAUGCCGCGUGUAUGAGAAGGCCUUCGGGUUGUAAAGUACUUUUGGCAGAGAAGCGGUAUCUGCAGAAUAAGCACCGGCUAACUACGUGCCAGCAGCCGCGGUAAUAC